Molecule: ribosomal RNA, 194 nt
Filed under: uncultured Glomus
Lineage: Eukaryota; Fungi; Glomeromycota; Glomeromycetes; Glomerales; Glomeraceae
Description: partial 18S ribosomal RNA
Rfam family: Eukaryotic small subunit ribosomal RNA
Source: RNAcentral
AGCAGCCGCGGUAAUUCCAGCUCCAAUAGCGUAUAUUAAAGUUGUUGCAGUUAAAAAGCUCGUAGUUGAAUUUCGGGACCAAUUUGUUGGUCGUGCCUCGGUACGUACUGGUAUUAUUGGUUUCUCCCUUCUGAAGAACCCCGAUGUCAUUAAUUUGGUGUCGUGGGGAAUCAGGACUGUUACUUUGAAAAAAU